Meriones unguiculatus (Mongolian gerbil) is the source of this 104-nucleotide small nuclear RNA. NCBI's taxonomy places the organism in Eukaryota, Metazoa, Chordata, Mammalia, Rodentia, Muridae. The record is from Ensembl.
UUUCUCACUUUGGCAGCACAUAUAAUAAAACUGGAACAAUACAGAGAUUAGCAUGGCCCCUGUACAAGGAUGACAUAAAAAUUCGUGAAACAUUCCAUAUUUUU